CACCCCAGAAUUCCCUGCCUCCGUGCAUGUUAUGGCACCUUUGGGAUGUGUUAGUCAUAAGAAUGAAGCUACUGGUGCUUUGCAGGGAUAUUUUCACUCUGGCUCUCGCAGGAGAGCUCUGACACAGCCCUGCUGUCGGCACGGCUGGGGCGCCUUUGCUCGCUGGUGCCUCCUGAGAUUCCAGACCGCUCCAAAAAAAAAGGGGGAAACGUCCAAUUUUUAUUUCCUCAGGGAACACCAAGAAAAUUUUUCUUUCCGAGCCUGUCUCCUGAAACGAGCUCCAGGAGUGGUCACAACCUGCCAUAAAAAUGCCAUGUGCAAGAGAAUAUAUUUAAUAUCAGGCAAGCAGAAUGGAACGAUACGAUCUGUUUGGGGUUCGAAGCAAUCCCAGCUCUGAUGCCCCUCACAGGGACAGACCCCAAAGGACACCAAGCCACCACUAAAGAACCAGCAGGGUCUUGAAUCAGGAUUUUGGGGUGGUUUUGGUGUCACUUCCACUCUGACCGACCCUGCCAGUGCAUCCUCAGCCGAGGAAUUCAGGUGGACAAACUCUGGGCACACAUUCCUGGGAGAGGCAGGACCAACCUGAGCUGGCAAAAUCAGCCUUUAGAGGAACAUCCUGAAACCUUUCCAGUGGGAAUCAAAGAGCCUCUCUUUUAAUUAGCUCCAGGUAUGUGUUUGACAGCAAAGAAGUUGUCAGGCUGCUGUAGCAGACCUCGUGUUUCAGGUUGAGGGGAAUCACCUCCAGCCUGAGAGUAAAACAUCCACAGUAGUGCAGGAUGCUUCACAUUCCCUGGAAGAAAGCUCCUCUUUAUCUUCUCUGGCUCUAACUCUUGAAGCAUUUCCUAAUCCCAGGCAAUCUGGAGCACUGGGAAAUGCAGGGUUUUGAGACAGGCAAUGGGCAAAUGCUCAGAGAGAGAAAGAAAAACGCUUUUUCCAUUUUCCCCUCAAACUUUAUUAGUUAAACCAAGCUGACAAUGAGCUGAAUUUUAUUCACUCCCCAAAUAUGAAUAGAAAGACACCCAGCCACACAAACCAGCUGAUAGAAUUGACAUUUUUUGGGGUUCAUCUGCCAUGAAGAUCUCCUAUGACCUCUUUCCCAAUUCCUGUUAACACAAAUGCUGACUAUUUUCACACUUGUGCAGACAGCAGCCCCCAGAACCAAUAAUCACAAACCCACCCCUCAACACCCUCAGUCUUGGACUUUCCAGCUGGGCUCUGCUUUCCAAACCCUGAACAAUCAGCUGAGCUCAUUUGCACAUUUUCCCAACCUAAUUAGCCCUCGCUAUGAUGAAGAUCAUGAAGAUUUUUGUUCUGGCUAAUAAUAGUUGUACUUUAUCUCACUUUGCCUUUUAACUAAGCAUGUCCUAAUUGUGUAUUUACAUUUGCUGGCAUGU
This 1397-nucleotide long non-coding RNA is filed under the name Cyanistes caeruleus (blue tit). RNAcentral's name for it is "lncRNA (ENSCCEG00000017806.1)". The record is from RNAcentral. Lineage: Eukaryota; Metazoa; Chordata; Aves; Passeriformes; Paridae.